This is a long non-coding RNA of Brachypodium distachyon (stiff brome), 535 nucleotides long. RefSeq lists it as uncharacterized. The transcript has 2 exons. Lineage: Eukaryota; Viridiplantae; Streptophyta; Magnoliopsida; Poales; Poaceae. The record is from RefSeq and is a predicted model, not a curated record.
CUUUUAUCAGGUUGCAGAUAUGAUUUGAAACCUUUUCUUUUUAAUUAAUGAUGCGCAUAAUAUAUAUAGCUUGGAAUGGAAAACAGAGCAUGUCUGUCUUCCCGGGAACAUUUGGAACAAGUGUAUCCAGAAGCAUGUCUGUCCUUUGGAUGAACAAGACUUGAAUGGGGUGAGCUGGGAUGAAGUGUAUUAUUCAGAGCACAUUUGAAAGGCCAAGGACUUUACUGAACAGACUAUUAAUCCUGUAAAGACAAAAAGUAUAUAGUAUCAUGUUUCAUUAGAGGGGUUUUAAUUAGCCCUCUAAUUAAUUAGUGGGUUUAUUAUGCAACAAAGGCAGAUAGAAGGAUGCAACAAAGGCAGAUAGAAGGGCCGCCGGGCGGCCCUUAGCUAUACGUAUGUGCACUAGCGCUAGGUGAGAUCCAAUGAUAGUAAGCACUUAGGCACACUGAAAUUUAAGAAUGCAUGGAUAAAUAAAUAGUCAUGUGAGCGUGUGUGUGUGUGUUUCCAACAAGCUAAAACAAAGUAAGUUUGACCA